GGGUGAGUGGUGAAAUUGGUAGACACGCCAGAUUUAGGUUCUGGUGCUUAAUCGCGUGCGGGUUCGAGUCCCGCCUCGCCCACCA
RNAcentral lists this transfer RNA (85 nucleotides) under Kiritimatiellaceae bacterium. Its description in RNAcentral is "tRNA-Leu". It matches the Rfam family "tRNA". Rfam says of the family: Transfer RNA (tRNA) molecules are approximately 80 nucleotides in length. Their secondary structure includes four short double-helical elements and three loops (D, anti-codon, and T loops). The record is from RNAcentral. RNAcentral also lists the same sequence under 2 other names. Lineage: Bacteria; Pseudomonadati; Kiritimatiellota; Kiritimatiellia; Kiritimatiellales; Kiritimatiellaceae.